This 409-nucleotide ribosomal RNA is filed under the name uncultured bacterium. RNAcentral's name for it is "bacterial SSU rRNA". It matches the Rfam family "Bacterial small subunit ribosomal RNA", at positions 505 to 916 of the family's 1533-position model. The record is from RNAcentral.
GUGCCAGCAGCAGCGGUAAUACGGAGGAUGCAAGCGUUAUCCGGAUUCAUUGGGUUUAAAGGGUGCGUAGGCGGCUAUUUAAGUCAGUGGUGAAAUCUUGCCGCUUAACGGUAAAAUUGCCAUUGAUACUGAAUAGCUUGAGUACAGUUGAGGUAGGCGGAAUGUGUAGUGUAGCGGUGGAAUGCUUAGAUAUUACACAGAACACCAAUUGCGAAGGCAGCUUACUAAACUGACACUGACGCUGAUGCACGAAAGCGUGGGGAUCGAACAGGAUUAGAUACCCUGGUAGUCCACGCCGUAAACGAUGCUCACUCGCUGUUUGCGAUACACAGCAAGCGGCCAAGCGAAAGCAUUAAGUGAGCCACCUGGGGAGUACGAUCGCAAGGUUGAAACUCAAAGAAAUUGACGG